Molecule: ribosomal RNA, 494 nt
Filed under: uncultured bacterium
Lineage: Bacteria
Description: bacterial SSU rRNA
Rfam family: Bacterial small subunit ribosomal RNA
Source: RNAcentral
AAAGGAAUUGACGGGGACCCGCACAAGCGGUGGAGCAUGUGGUUUAAUUCGAAGCAACCCGAAGAACCUUACCAAGGCUUGACAUCUCUCUGACCGGUAUAGAGAUAUACCCUUCCUUCGGGACAGAGAUGACAGGUGGUGCAUGGUUGUCGUCAGCUCGUGUCGUGAGAUGUUGGGUUAAGUCCCGCAACGAGCGCAACCCUUAUUUUUAGUAGCCAGCGGCUCGGCCGGGCACUCUAGAAAGACUGCCGUGGAUAACACGGAGGAAGGCGGGGACGACGUCAAAUCAUCAUGCCCCUUAUGUCUUGGGCUACACACGUGCUACAAUGGCUGUAACAAAGUGACGCAACGCAGCGAUGCCGAGCAAACCACAAAAAAGCAGCCCCAGUUCGGAUUGUAGUCUGCAACCCGACUACAUGAAGUUGGAAUCGCUAGUAAUCGCAAAUCAGCAUGUUGCGGUGAAUACGUUCCCGGGUCUUGUACACACCGCCCGU